AGUGAACGCUGGCGGUAGGCCUAACACAUGCAAGUCGAACGGCAGCACAGUAAGAGCUUGCCCUUACGGGUGGCGAGUGGCGGACGGGUGAGGCAUACAUCGGAAUCUACUUUUUCGUGGGGGAUAACGUAGGGACACUUACGCUAAUACCGCAUACGACCUACGGGUGAAAUCAGUGGAUCUUCGGACCUUGCGCGUUUGAAUGAGCCGGUGUCGGAUCAGCUAGUUGACAGGGUAAAGGCCCACCAAGGCAACGAUACGUAGCUGGUCUGAGAGGAUGAUCGGCCACACUGGAACUGAGACACGGUCCAGACUCCUACGGGAGGCAGCAGUAGGGAAUAUUGGGCAAUGGGCGAAAGCCUGAUCCAGCCAUACCGCGUGAGUGAAGAAGGCCUUCGGGUUGUAAAGCCCUUUUGUUGGGAAAGAAAAACAGCAUAUUAAUACCCCGCUGUUCUGACGGUACCCAAAGAGUAAGCACCGGCUAACUUCGUG
Molecule: ribosomal RNA, 492 nt
Filed under: uncultured bacterium
Lineage: Bacteria
Description: partial 16S ribosomal RNA
Rfam family: Bacterial small subunit ribosomal RNA
Source: RNAcentral